CCUACGGGAGGCUGUAGUGGGGAAUAUUGGACAAUGGGGGCAACCCUGAUCCAGCCAUGCCGCGUGUGUGAAGAAGGCCCUCGGGUUGUAAAGCACUUUCAGUGAGGAAGAACGCCUGGUGGUUAAUACCCAUCAGGAAAGACAUCACUCACAGAAGAAGCACCGGCUAACUCCGUGCCAGCAGCCGCGGUAAUACGGAGGUUGCGAGCGUUAAUCGGAAUUACUGGGCGUAAAGCGCGCGUAGGUGGCUUGAUAAGCCGGUUGUGAAAGCCCCGGGCUCAACCUGGGAACGGCAUCCGGAACUGUCAAGCUAGAGUGCAGGAGAGGAAGGUAGAAUUCCCGGUGUAGCGGUGAAAUGCGUAGAGAUCGGGAGGAAUACCAGUGGCGAAGGCGGCCUUCUGGACUGACACUGACACUGAGGUGCGAAAGCGUGGGUAGCAAACAGGAUUAGAUACCCUGGUAGUC
This 465-nucleotide ribosomal RNA is filed under the name Vreelandella stevensii. RNAcentral describes it as "partial 16S ribosomal RNA". It matches the Rfam family "Bacterial small subunit ribosomal RNA", at positions 338 to 795 of the family's 1533-position model. The record is from RNAcentral. Lineage: Bacteria; Pseudomonadati; Pseudomonadota; Gammaproteobacteria; Oceanospirillales; Halomonadaceae.